UAGAUACAUCCGUAUCUAGA
This 20-nucleotide microRNA is filed under the name Triticum aestivum (bread wheat). RNAcentral describes it as "tae-miR1122a". RNAcentral also lists the same sequence under 1 other name. The record is from miRBase by way of RNAcentral. Lineage: Eukaryota; Viridiplantae; Streptophyta; Magnoliopsida; Poales; Poaceae.